GACGAACGCUGGCGGCGUGCUUAACACAUGCAAGUCGAACGGAAAGGCCCUGCUUUUGUGGGGUGCUCGAGUGGCGAACGUGUGAGUAACACGUGAGUAACCUUCCCUUUACUUUGGGAUAACUUCAGGAAACUGGGGCUAAUACCGGAUAGGAGCUCCUGCUGCAUGGUGGGGGUUGGAAAGUUUCGGCGGUUGGGGAUGGACUCGCGGCUUAUCAGCUUGUUGGUGGGGUAGUGGCUUACCAAGGCUUUGACGGGUAGCCGGCCUGAGAGGGUGACCGGCCACAUGGGGACUGAGAGACGGCCCAGACGCCUACGGGAGGCAGCAGUGGGGAAUAUUGCACAAUGGGCGGAAGCCUGAGGCAGAAACGCCGCGUGCGGGAUGACGGCCUUCGGGUUGUAAACCGCUUUCGCCUGUGACGAAGCGUGAGUGACGGUAAUGGGUAAAGAAGCACCGGCUAACUACGUG
Molecule: ribosomal RNA, 468 nt
Filed under: uncultured bacterium
Lineage: Bacteria
Description: partial 16S ribosomal RNA
Rfam family: Bacterial small subunit ribosomal RNA
Source: RNAcentral